UACGGAGGGGGCUAGCGUUGUUCGGAAUUACUGGGCGUAAAGCGCACGUAGGCGGCUUUGUAAGUUAGAGGUGAAAGCCCGGGGCUCAACUCCGGAAUUGCCUUUAAGACUGCAUCGCUAGAAUUGUGGAGAGGUAAGUGGAAUUCCGAGUGUAGAGGUGAAAUUCGUAGAUAUUCGGAAGAACACCAGUGGCGAAGGCGACUUACUGGACACAUAUUGACGCUGAGGUGCGAAAGCGUGGGGAGCAAACAGGAUUAGAAACCCCCGUAGUCC
This 273-nucleotide ribosomal RNA is filed under the name uncultured bacterium. RNAcentral describes it as "partial 16S ribosomal RNA". It matches the Rfam family "Bacterial small subunit ribosomal RNA", at positions 524 to 796 of the family's 1533-position model. The record is from RNAcentral.